This 970-nucleotide long non-coding RNA is filed under the name Manihot esculenta (cassava). RNAcentral describes it as "long non-coding RNA (MESC_LNC003568)". The record is from RNAcentral. Lineage: Eukaryota; Viridiplantae; Streptophyta; Magnoliopsida; Malpighiales; Euphorbiaceae.
AAUUUCAUUCUUUGAAUUUCAGUGGUAAAUAGAAAUAUUCUAUGAAAUGCAAACCAGUUCAAGACAUGCUGGGAAAGCAUGGAUAGAAUUGCAGAUAUAAAUACAAGCACAGAUAAUUUUUACUGUUUUUUUGAAAAGUGUGGAUAAGAUAGGGUGGUUAUGAUAAAUAAGCAUAUUUUUACUUUGUAUGACAUGAAAAAAUAAUCAAGAUGGGUGCAUAUGCUCUGCCACAGUUUGCAUAAACAUUUUUAAGUAUCAAAUAGGUUCAAGAAGAUAGAAAAUAAACCAAUUAAAGGGCAAAGAUAACAGAAAGGCAUACUGAGGUACAAAGUGAAUAUUUUUCCUUUUUAACAAAAAUCGGCAUACACAUGAAUAAUUUAUCUAUUGACAUUUGCCACAAGACACAUCAUCACCCUAAUUUUUAUAUUCCUUGAUGCCUAAAACUAUUUUUUUUGGGUUUGAUAUUGGGAACUGAAAAUGUGACUAUAAAUUUACUUGAUAAUACCAAAAAUUAUGUCCACUAGGAGAUCCUUUGUAUAUCCUAAUUGCAUCUAACCAUAUCCCUGUGUUUACUAUUCACCGAGACAUAUGGAUUGUAUUUGUUAAAUUUGGGUAAGGUCUAACUCAUUCCAAGCUAACUCAAGGGGAGGAGUAGUGCCUAUGGCUCAUAAAACCGACGUGGGAUUUAACAUACCUCUCACCCCUAGAAUUGAGAGGCUCAAUAUGAGUAGGAGGCUCUCAUAUCAUAUUAAAUCUGAGUCAGGCCUAACUCACUCUAAAAACUAGCCAGCUCAAAAGAGAGGAGUGUAUAUGCAGGAGGCACAUUUCCCCUUUCUCACUAUGUGGGAUUCAACGGUAUUAAAUGUGGUACUUCUAUGCGCUAUAUGCCAAAAAAGAUGUGCAAGCAGACUUUUAGAGUUGAAAUAUUGAUGCUUCCUAGUAACAAAUGUUUCAUUUAGUUCAAGGGGGG